This 1658-nucleotide unclassified non-coding RNA is filed under the name Hevea brasiliensis (rubber tree). Lineage: Eukaryota; Viridiplantae; Streptophyta; Magnoliopsida; Malpighiales; Euphorbiaceae. The record is from RNAcentral.
UUUUUUUUUCAAUUCUCAUGUUUAAAAUUCUCAUGUUUGAAUUCAAAUAAAAAAAUAGAAAUAAAGCAUGAUCGCCAAUUGAAUUAUUUUCUUGCAAAUAUGUUUGUUUAAUCGAACUGCAAUCUCAUUUUGUUGGCUGAAAUUGAAAGAAAUUCAAUUGUAUGGAAGAGCACAAUCAAAGAAAAGGUGUUUGUGAACUCCAUAAAUGGCUUGGAAGAAGUUGCUGUCUUUGAGAAGACUCUUAAUUCUUCUAAAACCUGACUUUCUAUAUUCUUCUAAAACCUGACUUUCUAUCUCCUACUUCUUAUUCUUCAAAAUUUCGCCACUCUUACUGCUCUGCUUCUACGAGUUUCAAGAGCUUUCCAUCAACAUUCCAGCACUCUCAGAGUCCUCCUUACUCAUCUGCUUCUUCUGCUCUCACCCUUUGGAUCUCGAUGCUGACUCUCAAGGCCCUGCUACAAUCGAUUACCGGCUUGUGUUGCUGUGUCAUCUCCCUUGUUUGGAAGAAAUACAGGUGAUUAGAGGCUAAUAACUGCUAAUUUUGAUACAGUUCUCUUUUGCAGGAAGACGAAUUUCACAAACUGGCUGAUUCCACGAUCCAUGACCUUCAGGAGAAAUUUGAGGUUGAAAAUAUUGGCUUGCAUCUGUCUUUAUGCAAAUGAAAUGAUGUUUAUAGCUUUUGAUUAGCUGUUGUUUGUGCUUUAGAGGAAUAUGGCGAUAGCAUCCAAAUUGAUGUGCUGGACAUAGAUUAUGGGGUGAGAUUGUUUUGUGAAUAGUUUUUGCUUUUGUGGCAGUUUAAAAGUUGUUGGUGACUUAAUGGAUUUCCCCUUUUAGAAUGAGGUUUUGACUCUGAAGCUCGGCGAUUUAGGCACCUAUUGGUUAUCUUCUCCAGUGAGGGUGUUAUUACGCAAGGGCACAAGAUUGGAUACCCUGCGUAUUUAUUCCUAUAUGAAAUAGUACUCUUGCAUAUACUUGGCCUAUGUGCACAUGACUGGACAUUUCACUUAUGCAUAACAAAUUUUUUGCUUCACGUUGGAAUAUGAUCCUGCGUAAUAUAGGGCAACAUUUUUCUUUUGAUGGCAUCGCCAGUAACCUCUUCCUCCCUUUCCAAGAACACCCUUCUCCAGAGGAAGUUAGAUUCUAACUGGUAUGUUCAAUUCAAAAAUUUUAAUAAUCUAAAAGCUAUUGUGAAAGGAUGAACAUCUGUGCUUCUUCUAUGUUUCUAGGGACUAGUACUACCAAGACGUUCACAAUGCCAAUUUAGGAAACUUUUUGGCUUAUUUAUUCAUUAUUUUCUUGUGAGGUUGAAUUCUUAUAGUUUUCAUGCAGUGGUCCAUCCAGGUUUAGUUGGGAUCAGAACACCAAAGCUUGGGUUUAUAGGCGCACAAAAGCGAAUUUGUUGACGAUUUUUGAAAGUGAAUUGGAGCAACUAUGUGGCGAAUCUAUCAAACUUAGUUGUAGUAAAUUUUCUUGAUUUGCAGAAUAUUCUUUUUCAGGAAAUUUAACUCUGUAUUAUUAUUUAUGUUUGGCACUCUUACCAGAUCAAAUCUUUUAGGAUUUUUUCUUUAUGAUAAUGUAUAUGUUAGACAAGUAUUCCAGUUGCCUAAAUCUAUUCAACAAUAAUGGUAAUGAGAAUUAUUUAUAUUCUUGGAUGUUUA